This 57-nucleotide transfer RNA is filed under the name Bombus terrestris (buff-tailed bumblebee). RNAcentral describes it as "tRNA-Met". Lineage: Eukaryota; Metazoa; Arthropoda; Insecta; Hymenoptera; Apidae. The record is from RNAcentral.
UGUAUUUAAAUAUAUUAUUAUUAUUAUAUAUAUAUAUAUAUAUAUAUAUAUAUAUAU